CAGAGCGCAGUGCCGGCGGCGCGUCUUGGCGGUGCCGCGGCUUGGGCACGGGGCAGCGCGCCCGCUGCCCUGCCCUGGCCUAGCCCUGGCCCCGGCCCCGGCCCGGCCCUGCCCUGGCCCGGGGGAAAAGCCCGCGGGUUGCAGCCCCCUGCUCGGGCGAAAGGAGAGCUCGGCACGCUGUGCGGAUCGCCCCCGUGAUCUUUGUGGACGGAUGGCCAGCUGGCAAUGCCGGUUACGGGCCACAGGUUAAGAGCCAUUCCAUAAAAGUAACGCAAAACAGAGGAAAAGAGAUUAAGGAGGCAAAAAGAGUUGCCUUCUUUCUUCUGACUAAGCAUCAAAAACUACUACAGUAGUUUUCCUGUGAAGACUUCACUAUAUAUGACAACAUAAUUCAUCAAAGAUUCCAGUGACUGGAAUGAAAAUAUGGACCAUCAGUGGACAGCAAAGGCGUGAAGUUCUCUGAUGCAUAGCAGGUUUCUUACACAGCUGUCUCAUAAGGAACAGCUGUUUCCCCUGGCCUGCAUCCAAUGGAGAUGGAAAGAGACUGGUGAGAGUGGGGACAAGAAGAUGAAGAAAGAGCACUACUACAGCAAGUCUGAGAACAAAGCAUCAAUAGUACAAGUGCAGGCUGGGAUCAAAACUUCCUACCACUCUAUCUGGGAUACUUAGCUGAUUUCUCCUAAAGUGAUUUAGUUUUACUUUUAAGGAUAUUGAGAAGAGAUUCUGUUUCUCCUAAGCACCCAAGCUGAGAAGGACAAGAACAUCCACAGAAGCCUUAGUCUCCAGGAAGCACACUGGUUAAUCAGUUAAGUACUUAAGGAGCAGAAUGAGAUAUGAGAUUUGAAGACACACAGAUCUAGCUGUGUUCCUAACCCUCAGUAGGCUGGGGCAGUGAGUGGUGUAGCUGCUCUCUCUACCAGAGCCAGACAACUGCUGUAAAUUUUGCUGUGGGGCAUGGAUGGAGAGAACAUAGCUGUUCCUGAAGCAAGGGAUUAGCAUCUGUUCUCCCUCAUGCUUUCUCACAUAGUACUGAACACAGCUUUAUGUUUGCUUGUUAGUGAUUUCAGAUAGUGUGUUUCUGAUCUUACUUGAAGGAUAUGGAAGAUAACACUCACAUCUUUUUCAAAGGCCAGAAAAUGCAUCCAAACCCAGUAUGUGAAUAAUCCAAAAUACAUUGUGUAUGCAUGCUAGAAGACACAGAAUUCCUCACAUGCCUCAUAGAAAUGGAACAGGUUAGUCAGUACAUAACUUCAUAGAGCUUUGUGCUGCAAAGCAAAUUGAGUAGGAGAAAUUCUCAACAAAAUUAGCAGUCCCCCAAAGAUUUUCUGUAUUUCACUCUCCCAUGUUUCCCAUGACAGAUUGGUGGAAAACACACAUAUAUGUCUAAGAGACUACAAUGGGUUAUGGGAGCAAUGGGUUCUAAUUCCACAAGCWGGCUGACAGAGGAAUGAAAAUUCAGGAGUCACUAUAUGAUGCUUUGAGUAUGAUGUAAUCUAUGUAUAACUUGAAUUUCAACUUUAUUUUAUAAAUAUUUUGUAUAUAAAACUUCAAACUACUAACAAUUUUGAAUGCAGUGCUUGUCUGCCUUCUCUCUUUAUCUGCAAGUUAAAGGCCUG
This 1616-nucleotide long non-coding RNA is filed under the name Apteryx owenii (little spotted kiwi). RNAcentral's name for it is "lncRNA (ENSAOWG00000010854.1)". The record is from RNAcentral. Lineage: Eukaryota; Metazoa; Chordata; Aves; Apterygiformes; Apterygidae.